Molecule: ribosomal RNA, 317 nt
Filed under: uncultured eukaryote
Lineage: Eukaryota
Description: partial 18S ribosomal RNA
Rfam family: Eukaryotic small subunit ribosomal RNA
Source: RNAcentral
CCCUUAGAUGUUCUGGGCCGCACGCGCGCUACAAUGAUGAAUUCAACGAGUUUAUAACCUUGGUUGAAAAGCCUGGGUAAUCUUUUGAACUUUCGUCGUGAUGGGGCUAGACCCUUGCAAUUAUUGGUCUCCAACGAGGAAUUCCUAGUAAACGCAAGUCAUCAGCUUGCAUUGAUUACGUCCCUGCCCUUUGUACACACCGCCCGUCGCUCCUACCGAUUGAUUGAUCCGGUGAAUUACAUAGAAUUUUGCGUUUUACAUGACGGAAGAUGAAGUGUUUUAAACCUUAUCAUUUAGAGGAAGGAGAAGUCGUAACA